RNAcentral lists this unclassified non-coding RNA (1700 nucleotides) under Hevea brasiliensis (rubber tree). Lineage: Eukaryota; Viridiplantae; Streptophyta; Magnoliopsida; Malpighiales; Euphorbiaceae. The record is from RNAcentral.
UUGUUGUAUAACCCCAAUUUCAGGUACGCUUCUGGGAAGUUAAAAAUACAACGCCAAUUGACUCAACUGAGAAGCAAGGACAAACAAUCCAACAGGACCAAAAUUUCUUGCUCAGCUAAUAUUUUUUUGGUCAACUUGCAAUGGGCAUACAUAAAAGAACUGCCCUAUCCCAUAAUUGUAAAAGUAAAGGGAGGGAUAUCCAAUCCAGGAUUUCAGAUAUCUGCCUCCAGGCAACUGAUUACCACUUUCCGCCUCAUGUUUAUGACUUAUAAUUCCAACAUUUGCCCCAAACGGGAUUUAUGCCAUAUCUCGCAAAGCCGUUAUAAAAGCCGUUUGUCGGCAAUUAAUAUAUCUUUCCAAGCUUCAUAAAACAUCCAAGUGAUUCCAGAGGAAGGCAUGACUUUUAAACAACUUGCACCCCAUCCUCUGUAAAGUCCCAUCAAACCCUCCUCCCGAAUGACUUCUGAAAGUGCUGCUGCCAUGUGAGGAGGACACUGACCCUGCAAAGCUCCCACCAUUAGUCGUUUCCUGGCAACCUCCAAUGGAAAGCUGAUGGUGCUAGCGGUAAAGCCCGCAAGAGCUCCAACCAAGAGCAUCUCUGGACGGUUUAAUGACUUCUUCUUCCUUGACUGACAGUAAGAAUUCUUCAUUGUCUCGUACAUGAAAUAGUAACAUGUACUGUAUGGAAGCAUGCCAAUCAGUGUAGGUGAAAUACCAGCAUAAAAGGCACCAAUCCCUCCAUCCUUGUAGAUUUUGGUAAUUGCAAUGCCUAGACUAGGGUACAGAUCACGACUUACAGUCAAUCGAUCCUUCAAAACUUCAAGAGGAUGGCAUGCAAGCGUGCUAACAAUUCCAGCAGCAGCACCAGCUACUGCAACUGGGGAAAUCCAGGAGAGAGAAAAGUUCAAGCUGACAGGACCCAUUUGCACUCUUGGACAGUCAGUCUGAUUCCAUUUCUCUUGUGUUGACAUCAUAACCCGCUUAACAUACUCAAAUGUUCCGAGCUCAAUAGCCUGGGUAGGGAUUAUACGAAGCAUAUUGAUUGCAUUGCCAGCCCAAAGCCCUUGCCAACCCUGCUGCUCAAUGAUCUCAAAGAAACUACCAGAGAUGUUUUUGGAUCCAACACCAACGACCAUUCUUGUUCUGAUGGUUUCUAAAGGAGCAAGUACAGCCUUGGUCAUAGCCCCAGCUAAAGCCCCACUGAGAAACUCACCAACUUCUCUAGUCUUAACAAACUCUCUAAUAGAGAGCUUGAAAUGAGGUAGUUGAAAUCGGAGGUGAGGAGGAGGAGGAUCCGACUUAUCGAUUUCGAGGUCUUUGGGAAGCAUCAUAGUAACAGUGCAGACAUCUCCAAAAACCCCAGCUCCGUAUUUCUUCUUCUGCGAUUGGGUUUCAAAAUCCAUAAUUUUGUCCUUUCGAUCCGUAGCGUAAGUAAAUUAAUUUUGAGGAAAAAAAAAUAAAUUGAUAAUAAUAAUAAUAAGGAUGAGAAACAGAGGAGGCUUAAGAGAGAAAAGAAAUUGCGAUAAGAAUCGUUUAUUAAUAUUUCAAUGAGGAAGAAGAAACAGACGUGCCUGAGAAGGGAACAAGGGAUGGGCUAAGAGAUAUCUAUCGAGCGUGUUUAGGGUUUUGUGAUUUUGAUUUUGAAGUGCUGAAGUUGGGCGCUUCUUUUUGGGAGGUCUGCGUCUCUCUCUCUCUAACUC